RNAcentral lists this ribosomal RNA (1715 nucleotides) under human gut metagenome. RNAcentral describes it as "bacterial LSU rRNA". It matches the Rfam family "Bacterial large subunit ribosomal RNA", at positions 176 to 1980 of the family's 2925-position model. The record is from RNAcentral.
GUGGGGAACCGCCUGAACUGAAACAUCUAAGUAGGGCGAGGAAGAGAAAUCAACCGAGAUUCUGUGAGUAGUGGCGAGCGAAAGCGGAAGAGGCUAAACCAUAGGUAGCAAUACUUAUGGGGUUUCGGACAGCAUUUAGUAUUGAUAAUUUCUAGUUGAAACGUGUGGGAAAACGUACCGAAGAGUGUGAGAGUCACGUAAGCGAAAGAGAAAGUCAGCGAGCUGUAUCCAAAGUACCGCGGGACACGUGAAACCCCGUGGGAAGAUGGGGGGACCAUCCUCCAAGCCUAAAUACUACCUAAUGACCGAUAGCGAAUAGUACUGUGAAGGAACGGUGAAAAGAACCCCGGGAGGGGAGUGAAAAAGAACCUGAAACCCUAUGCUUACAAGCACCGAGAGCACGUCAAAGUGUGAUCGGGUACCUUUUGUAGAAUGGUCCGGCGAGUUAUUGUAUGCGGCAAGGUUAAGUGCUUAAGGCACGGAGCCGAAGCGAGAGCAAGUCUGAAUAGGGCGAGUAAGUCGUAUGCAAUAGACCCGAAACCGAGUGACCUAUCCAUGUCCAGGCUGAAGUGGAGGUAAAACUCUAUGGAGGGCCGAACACACGUCCGUUGAAAAGGCCGGUGAUGAGGUGUGGAUAGCGGAGAAAUUCCAAUCGAACUCGGAUAUAGCUGGUUCUCUCCGAAAUAGCUUUAGGGCUAGCCUCGUGAAAGAUUACUGGAGGUAAAGCACUGAAUGGGCUAGGGGUCGAAAGAUUACUGAACCCUAUCAAACUAAGAAUGCCAGAUAAUUGAUUCACGGGAGUCAGACAAUGUGAGAUAAGUCUCAUUGUCAAAAGGGAAACAGCCCAGACCCACAGCUAAGGUCCCUAAACAUUGUUAAGUGGAAAAGGAUGUGGGGUUGCAUAAACAACCAGGAUGUUGGCUUAGAAGCAGCCACUCAUUAAAAGAGUGCGUAAUAGCUCACUGGUCGAGUGACCCUGCGCCGAAAAUUCAACGGGGCUAAACAAUGUACCGAAGCUUGGGAUUCUAGAUUUAUCUAGAGUGGUAGGAGAGCGUCGAAUAAGGGGUGAAGUCAGAGCGGAAGCGCUGGUGGACUUUAUUCGAGUGAGAAUGCCGGAAUGAGUAGCGAGAAUUAUGUGAGAAUCAUAAUGGCCGAAAAUCUAAGGUUUCCUGAGGAAGGUUCGUCCGCUCAGGGUAAGCCGGGAGCUAAGGUGAGGCGGAGACGCGUAGCCGAUGCACAUACGGUUGAAAUUCCGUAGCCACCGAAAGAUUUAAAUACAGGGACGCUUUAGAAGUGAUGUUGCCGGGCGAUGGUUGACCUGGUCGUAAGGGAUCGAAAAUGAGUAGAGAAGUCAUCAUGGAAAGAGACAAGAAAAGCUGUAUGAAUAUCUUAGGUGCCCGUACCGCAAACCGACACAGGUAGAUAGGAAGAAGAUUCUAAGGCCAACGGGAGAAGGGUUGUUAAGGAACUCGGCAAGUUGACCCCGUAACUUCGGAAUAAGGGGUGCUCACGAGAGUGAGCCGCAGAGAAUAGGCCCAGGCAACUGUUUACCAAAAACACAGGUUUGUGCUAAAUCGAAAGAUGACGUAUACGAGCUGACGCCUGCCCGGUGCUGGAAGGUUAAAAGGAGAUGUGCAAGCAUUGAAUUGAAGCCCCAGUGAACGGCGGCCGUAACUAUAACGGUCCUAAGGUAGCGAAAUUCCUUGUCAGGUAAG